RNAcentral lists this ribosomal RNA (254 nucleotides) under uncultured bacterium. RNAcentral's name for it is "partial 16S ribosomal RNA". It matches the Rfam family "Bacterial small subunit ribosomal RNA", at positions 74 to 334 of the family's 1533-position model. The record is from RNAcentral.
CAAACCAAAGCUGGCGACCGGCGCACGGGUGAGUAACACGUGUCCAACCUGCCUCAUACUCGGGGAUAGCCUUUCGAAAGAAAGAUUAAUAUCCGAUAGCAUAUAUUUCCCGCAUGGGUUUUAUAUUAAAGAAAUUCGGUAUGAGAUGGGGAUGCGUUCCAUUAGUUUGUUGGGGGGUAACGGCCCACCAAGACUACGAUGGAUAGGGGUUCUGAGAGGAAGGUCCCCCACAUUGGAACUGAGACACGGUCCAA